UGGGGAAUAUUGCACAAUGGGCGAAAGCCUGAUGCAGCGACGCCGCGUGAGUGAAGAAGUAUUUCGGUAUGUAAAGCUCUAUCAGCAGGGAAGAAAAUGACGGUACCUGACUAAGAAGCCCCGGCUAACUACGUGCCAGCAGCCGCGGUAAUACGUAGGGGGCAAGCGUUAUCCGGAUUUACUGGGUGUAAAGGGAGCGUAGACGGCGAAGCAAGUCUGAAGUGAAAACCCAGGGCUCAACCCUGGGACUGCUUUGGAAACUGUUUUGCUAGAGUGUCGGAGAGGUAAGGGGAAUUCCUAGUGUAGCGGUGAAAUGCGUAGAUAUUAGGGGGAACACCAGUGGCGGAGGCGGCUUACUGGACGAUAUCUGACGUUGAGGCUCGAAAGCGUGGGGAGCAAACAGG
RNAcentral lists this ribosomal RNA (404 nucleotides) under Fusobacteriota bacterium. RNAcentral's name for it is "Fusobacteria bacterium partial 16S ribosomal RNA". It matches the Rfam family "Bacterial small subunit ribosomal RNA", at positions 355 to 776 of the family's 1533-position model. The record is from RNAcentral. Lineage: Bacteria; Fusobacteriati; Fusobacteriota.